UGAGUUUGAUCCUGGCUCAGGAUGAACGCUAGCGGCAGGCCUAAUACAUGCAAGUCGAGGGGCAUCACGGUAGCAAUACUGGUGGCGACCGGCAAACGGGUGCGGAACACGUACGCAACCUUCCUUUAAGAGAUGAAUAGCCCGAAGAAAUUCGGAUUAAUGCAUCGUAAGAUUGUGGGAUGGCAUCAUCCAGCAAUUAAAGAUUUAUUUCGCUUAAAGAUGGGCGUGCGCCUGAUUAGGUAGUUGGUGGGGUAACGGCUCACCAAGCCGACGAUCAGUAACUGGCGUGAGAGCGCGACCAGUCACACGGGCACUGAGACACGGGCCCGACUCCUACGGGAGGCAGCAGUAAGGAAUAUUGGUCAAUGGACGCAAGUCUGAACCAGCCAUGCCGCGUGAAGGAUGAAAGCCCUCUGGGUUGUAAACUUCUUUUAUCUGGGAAGAAACCACCUUUUUCUAAGGGUGUUGACGGUACCAGAGGAAUAAGCACCGGCUAACUCCGUGCCAGCAGCCGCGGUAAUACGGAGGGUGCAAGCGUUAUCCGGAUUCACUGGGUUUAAAGGGUGCGUAGGCGGAUUGGUAAGUCCGUGGUGAAAUCUCCAAGCUUAACUUGGAAGCUGCCAUGGAUACUAUUAGUCUUGAAUGUUGUGGAGGUUAGCGGAAUAUGUCAUGUAGCGGUGAAAUGCAUAGAUAUGACAUAGAACACCAAUUGCGAAGGCAGCUGGCUACACAAAUAUUGACGCUGAGGCACGAAAGCGUGGGGAUCAAACAGGAUUAGAUACCCUGGUAGUCCACGCCCUAAACGAUGAUUACUCGACAUUUGCGAUACACAGCAAGUGUCUGAGCGAAAGCAUUAAGUAAUCCACCUGGGAAGUACGACCGCAAGGUUGAAACUCAAAGGAAUUGACGGA
This 911-nucleotide ribosomal RNA is filed under the name uncultured bacterium. Its description in RNAcentral is "bacterial SSU rRNA". It matches the Rfam family "Bacterial small subunit ribosomal RNA", at positions 1 to 917 of the family's 1533-position model. The record is from RNAcentral.